CAGUCGCCGCGGUAAUACAGAGGGUGCAAGCGUUAAUCGGAAUUACUGGGCGUAAAGCGCGCGUAGGUGGUUCGUUAAGUUGAAUGUGAAAUCCCCGGGCUCAACCUGGGAACUGCAUCCAAAACUGGCAAGCUAGAGUAGGGCAGAGGGUGGUGGAAUUUCCUGUGUAGCGGUGAAAUGCGUAGAUAUAGGAAGGAACACCAGUGGCGAAGGCGACCACCUGGGCUCAUACUGACACUGAGGUGCGAAAGCGUGGGGAGCAAACAGGAUUAGAGACCCGUGUAGUCCCUGUCUCUUAUAC
Molecule: ribosomal RNA, 301 nt
Filed under: uncultured bacterium
Lineage: Bacteria
Description: partial 16S ribosomal RNA
Rfam family: Bacterial small subunit ribosomal RNA
Source: RNAcentral